This 497-nucleotide ribosomal RNA is filed under the name uncultured bacterium. RNAcentral describes it as "partial 16S ribosomal RNA". It matches the Rfam family "Bacterial small subunit ribosomal RNA", at positions 28 to 507 of the family's 1533-position model. The record is from RNAcentral.
GAUGAACGCUGGCGGCGUGCCUAAUACAUGCCAGUCGAGCGAACAGACGAGGAGCUUGCUCCUCUGACGUUAGCGGCGGACGGGUGAGUAACACGUGGAUAACCUACCUAUAAGACUGGGAUAACUUCGGGAAACCGGAGCUAAUACCGGAUAAUAUAUUGAACCGCAUGGUUCAAUAGUGAAAGACGGUUUUGCUGUCACUUAUAGAUGGAUCCGCGCCGCAUUAGCUAGUUGGUAAGGUAACGGCUUACCAAGGCAACGAUGCGUAGCCGACCUGAGAGGGUGAUCGGCCACACUGGAACUGAGACACGGUCCAGACUCCUACGGGAGGCAGCAGUAGGGAAUCUUCCGCAAUGGGCGAAAGCCGGACGGAGCAACGCCGCGUGAGUGAUGAAGGUCUUCGGAUCGUAAAACUCUGUUAUUAGGGAAGAACAAAUGUGUAAGUAACUAUGCACGUCUUGACGGUACCUAAUCAGAAAGCCACGGCUAACUACGUG